This 3156-nucleotide long non-coding RNA is filed under the name Mus musculus (house mouse). Its description in RNAcentral is "long non-coding RNA chr6:86494648-86497804". The record is from RNAcentral. Lineage: Eukaryota; Metazoa; Chordata; Mammalia; Rodentia; Muridae.
GGUUUUUCGAGGCAGGGUUUCUCUGUGUAGCCCUGGCUGUCCUGGAACUCACUCUGUAGACCAGGCUGACCUCGAACUCAGAAAUCUGCCUGCCUCUGCCUCCCGAGUGCUGGGAUUAAAGGCGUGCGCCACCACGCCCGGCUCUUGGUCUACAGAGUUCUAGGACAACCAGGACGACAUAGUGAGGCCCUGUUUCAAAAAAAAAAAAAAAAAGAAAAAACAAACAAAAAAGAAACAAAAGUGUAUGUGUGUGUUUGUGUGUUUUGCUUGUGUCACAUGCAUGCAUUGCCUUUAGAGGCCAGAAGAGGGCAUCAGAUCCUUUGGAACUGGAGUUACAGAGGGUUGUAGGUCAGUCACCAUGUGAGUGCUAGGAAUCAAACCAGAGUCCUCUGCAAGAAUAGCUAGUGAGUAAGCUUUGUUGGUCACGGUGCUUAUCGUGCCCCAUACAUCCACCUUCCCACCACUACCUCAUGCCCACCACCUCUGUAAGGAGCUCCCCCAUACCCACCACCUCUGUAAGGAGAUACACACACACACACACACACGCCCUCCACCUCUGUAAGGAGGCUCUUUCCCCCCACAUACCCACCACCUCUGUAAGGAGCCCCUCACACACACAUGCCCACCAUCUCUGUAAGGAGCCACACACACACAUAUGCCCUCCACCUCUGUAAGAAGACACACACACAUGCCCUCCACCUCUCUAAGGAGGCUCUCUUCCCCCACAUACCCACCACCUCUGUAAGGAGGCCCCCUACCCCCACAUACCCACCACCUCUGUAAGGAGCCCCUCACACACACAUGCCCACCACCUCUGUAAGAAGACACACACACACAUGCCCUCCACCUCUGUAAGAAGACACACACACACAUGCCCUCCACCUCUGUAAGGAGGCCCUCUCCCCCCACAUACCCACCACCUCUGUAAGGAGCCCCCCAGCCCCCACAUGUCCACUACCUCUGUAAGGAGCUCUCCUAUACCCACCACCUCUGUAAGGAGGCCCACACACACACAUGCCUCUACCACCUCUGUAAGGAGGCAGAUUCUCUUGGGAUCUUGCUGCUUCCAGUCUGUUUUUUUUCCUUCAGGCGUUUCCCAUGGUAAAGGGGUGAUGGAGAGCUCAGAUCUGUAGAGGCACGGGCCACUCUGGCUGAACUAACCUUUGAUUGCCAGGUAACAGGCCAGAGCCCAAGCAGUGGUUUUAAUCCCGAGGUUCCCUGUGAGGAGGCAGGGGGAGGGGCUCUUGCCCCUAGCCCUGGGGUUUGCUUUGACUUGGGAAACCUUCACCAGAAUGUGCUCCAGCUUGGCUAUUCUUGUAGUCAAGAGCUCAGUUAAAAGGAACAUUAUUACCCUGGCCAAAGAAACUAACCUGAUACAUUCCUUACAGAUACAUGAAGACUGGCUGGAGGCAGGAGGACAGAUAGACAGACUGGCAGUAGCCUGAGACUGGAGACUCCUCAGGUGACUUUAUCCACUCACUGAACACCGUGACAAAGAGGUCAGGAGAAGGUUACUCAAGGGGAGAGACAACACACACACACACACACACACACACACACACACACACACACACACACACACGGUAAGAAUGUUUAUUGCUCUUCCAGAGGACCUCAGUUCAGUUCCAGGCACUUAUGUGAGGCGCUCACGACCUCCUGUAACACCGCUCCGCAUGAGCCAACGCCCUGCCCUCUUUGGCCUGAGGGCAAUUGGACUCAUUAGCACACACACAUAAUUUCAAAUAAAGUAGAGAUGUGAUGAAUAAAACAGGUUGGGUGGGGAGGGGGCAAACACUUGUAGUCUCAGAGAGUUCAAGGUCUCAGUUGGCAGAGUGCUCGCCUAGCACAAAGUCCUGAGCUUCAUCCCCAGCAGUCCAUAAAACAGUUAUCUUCAGCUACAUAGCAGAUUCAAGGCUAGUUUGGGAUACAUGAGACCCUAUCUCAAGACAAAACAAAACAAAAAAUUCCCUCUAUCCUGCUUCCAUCCUCCCCCAAAAAGAAAGAAACGAAGCAGUUGAAACCCCUAACGGUAGAAGCAACAGGCUGCGACAAUACACACAUUGAAUUGCAUGUGUGUAUUGUGUGUAUAGGAAACAGAGGAGAGAGCUUAACUUGCACCAGCCGGUUCUGUUCCACUGCCUGAGGCCCAGGGAUGGAUCUGAGGCAGGCUUUUUGGAAGCAGCUUUGCACCCUAACCCAUCUUGUGUGUGGCCUUUAUUUCCUUUAGGGAGAGCCCUAAGGGUCCUAGGGAGUGAGUGGUGCAGCCCCACCCUGAGCAGUCCCUCACCGAUGGACUACUAGGGUUUUAAUUCCUCUGGGACACAAUGUGAUGGGCACUGCGAAUUGGCCCACCUCCUUUGUAACUGCUGACUGCGAUGAAACCCAAUUGAACAGCCUGAACUCUAGGAUGAAUUUCUAGCCGUGACCCUUCCACUCACCCUUCUGAGUGACAGGACACUCCUGGCAACUUUUCCACCAGAAAAUAGCCAUCCAGGGGAUUGCUGUGCCCACAAAGUACUUCCCUUCAAAGUCUCAGGAGGGCAGAGCUCUGGGCUCAGGGUGGAGCCCAGUCUGUACAGCGCUUGCCCGGUAUGUCUGGCUUGCCUAGUUACACAGAAACUGGGCUUGGUGGGACAUGCCCAGUGAUUUCAGCUCCAGGGAGUUAGCGGCAGGAGGAUCACAAGUUCAAGGUCAUCCUGGGCUACUAAAGGAGUAAGUAAGAAAGGGAAGUCAGCCUGGAAUGCAUUAGAACGGUAAGGGGGGUGGGGCGGAGAAAGGAAGAGAGAAGAGGAGAGGGAGGAGAGGAAGAGAGGAGAGGAAAGGAGAGAAGAGGACAGAGGAGGUAGAGAGGAGGAGGGGAAGAAAAGAGACCGGGUGGUAGACACCUGACCCAGGCGGACAAGUCAGAUUCUCUUGGGAAUUUGAAACCUGAACGCAAAGACUCAGCCUAGUGGCCAGCGCAGCAGCAGCAGCAGUAUCCAAACCACGGUGUUUUAGAAAGAAGGUCCGGGCUGCCCAGGAUCCUGCCUGUCUGCUGUAGUAGCUCUUCCUCUUGACCUCUGAGCCACCCCAGUGUCCUUCCAAAACGUAGCUCUUGGUCUUGGUGGGCAGAGUAGCUUCCUAGCCCUGAAAAUCAAACAAAACACUAAGCCACAC